This is a long non-coding RNA of Musca vetustissima, 562 nucleotides long. RefSeq lists it as uncharacterized. Lineage: Eukaryota; Metazoa; Arthropoda; Insecta; Diptera; Muscidae. The record is from RefSeq and is a predicted model, not a curated record. The transcript has 2 exons.
UCAGCUGAAAAUGGGCACCUUCGGUUGGCCACCAGAACUCAAGCGCCGGCCAUGGUGAUGGUGUGGGUCGCCAUCACCGACGAUGCAUCAGAAUAAAUGCCGAAUAUUAUCGCGAAAUAUUCUGGAGGGAAUAUUAAAGCCUUGGGCAUGCAAACAUUUUGGCCGCAGACCUUGGACAUUACAACAACAGCACUCAGUACCACCGCACUCAGCAAGCGCCACCCAAGAGUGGUUAUAAAAUGAGGUUCCUCGCUUCAUUUCCAGUGCACAAUGGCCACCAAAAUCUCCGGAUUCCAAUCCGUUGGACUAUUGUGUCUGAAGUAUUUUGGAAAGCAAGAUUGCACUAAAAAAAAACACCAAAGUGUCGAUCAUCUCAAGCAAGCGCUUCGCCGGGAAUGGGUCUAAAAUACCGCAGAGCAACAUUCGGGCAGCGUGUAAUGGUUCCAUUGGCCGUUUGAAGGCCAUAAUUUGUGCCAAAGGUGACCAAUUCGAAUAAAUCUAAACUUAUUCUAAAAUUGAAUGCUAUUUCCGACAUUUUUUGGUUUCAUUCAAUAAAAUUUAA